GCCCAGACUCCUACGGGAGGCUGCAGUCGAGAAUCUUCCGCAAUGGGCGAAAGCCUGACGGAGCGAUGCCGCGUGAGGGAUGAAGGCCUUCGGGUUGUAAACCUCUGUCGCCCGGGACGAAACCAAUGACGGUACCGGGAGAGGAAGCUACGGCUAACUACGUGCCAGCAGCCGCGGUAAUACGUAGGUAGCAAGCGUUAUUCGGAUUUACUGGGCGUAAAGGGUCCGCAGGGGGCCUGCCAAGUCUGAUGUGAAAUACCACGGCUCAACUGUGGAACGGCAUUGGAAACUGGCGGGCUAGAGUGCAUGAGGGGUGAGCAGAAUUCCUGGUGUAGCGGUGGAAUGCGUAGAUAUCAGGAGGAAUACCGAUGGCGAAGGCGGCUCACUGGCAUGCAACUGACCCUCAGGGACGAAAGCGUGGGUAGCAAACAGGAUUAGAUACCCUGGUAGUCCACGCUGUAAACGGUGUACACUAGAUGUGGGUGGUCCUUUUGGUCCCAUCCGUGUCCAAGCUAACGCGUUAAGUGUACCGCCUGGGGACUACGGCCGCAAGGUUAAAACUCAAAGGAAUUGACGGGGGCCCGCACAAGCGGUGGAGUAUGUGGCUUAAUUCGAGGCAACGCGAAGAACCUUACCUGGGCUUGACAUAUACCUGACGGGGUGUGAAAGCAUCCUUUCCUUCGGGACGGGUAUACAGGUGCUGCAUGGCUGUCGUCAGCUCGUGUCGUGAGAUGUUCGGUUAAGUCCGGCAACGAGCGCAACCCGUACUGUCAGUUGCGACCAGGUGAAGCUGAGCACUCUGGCGGGACUGCCCGUGUUAAGCGGGAGGAAGGCGCGGAUGACGUCAAGUCAGUAUGGCCCUUACGUCCAGGGCUGCACACGUACUACAAUGGGCGGUACAGUGGGAAGCAAUACCGCGAGGUGGAGCAAAUCCUCAAAACCGCCCCCAGUUCAGAUUGCAGUCUGCAACUCGACUGCAUGAAGCCGGAAUCGCUAGUAAAGGCGUAUCAGCAACGACGCCUUGAAUACGUUCCCGGGCCUUGUACACACCGCCCGUCACAUCAUGGAAGCCGGUUGCACCCGACACUUCCGAUCCAACCCGCAAGGGAGGUAGGAAACUAAGGUGUGCCCGGUAACUGGGAUGAAGUCGUAACAAGGUAGCCGUUGGGGAACCAGCGGCUG
RNAcentral lists this ribosomal RNA (1182 nucleotides) under metagenome. RNAcentral's name for it is "bacterial SSU rRNA". It matches the Rfam family "Bacterial small subunit ribosomal RNA", at positions 329 to 1520 of the family's 1533-position model. The record is from RNAcentral.